AGCAGUCGCCACGGUAAUACGUAGGUCCCGAGCGUUGUCCGGAUUUAUUGGGCGUAAAGCGAGCGCAGGCGGUUAGAUAAGUCUGAAGUUAAAGGCUGUGGCUUAACCAUAGUACGCUUUGGAAACUGUUUAACUUGAGUGCAAGAGGGGAGAGUGGAAUUCCAUGUGUAGCGGUGAAAUGCGUAGAUAUAUGGAGGAACACCGGUGGCGAAAGCGGCUCUCUGGUCUGUAACUGACGCUGAGGCUCGAAAGCGUGGGGAGCAAACAGGAUUAGAUACCCCGGUAGUCCCUGUCUCUUAUACA
RNAcentral lists this ribosomal RNA (303 nucleotides) under uncultured bacterium. RNAcentral describes it as "partial 16S ribosomal RNA". It matches the Rfam family "Bacterial small subunit ribosomal RNA", at positions 507 to 808 of the family's 1533-position model. The record is from RNAcentral.